Non-coding RNA from Paramuricea clavata, 218 nucleotides. The record is from the annotation of a GenBank genome assembly. Lineage: Eukaryota; Metazoa; Cnidaria; Anthozoa; Malacalcyonacea; Plexauridae.
GUUGCAACUGUUGCUGCUGUGGUAAGUAUUGUGGCUGCUGCUGUGGUAACUGUUGCUGCUGUAGCAAGUGUUGCGGCUGCUGUUGCAACUGUUGCUGCUGUAGUGGCUGCUGUUGCUGUGGCAAGUGUUGCGGCUGCUGUUGCAACUGUUGCUGCUGUAACUGUUGCUGCUGUAGUGGCUGCUGUUGCUGUGGCAAGUGUUGCGGCUGCUGUUGCAAC